RNA transcript from Ctenopharyngodon idella (grass carp), 3021 nucleotides. It is a transcript of the gene named SUMO interacting motifs containing 1, with no coding region annotated. The record is from RefSeq and is a predicted model, not a curated record. Lineage: Eukaryota; Metazoa; Chordata; Actinopteri; Cypriniformes; Xenocyprididae. The transcript has 11 exons.
CGCGUUACAAUUGCGGAAGUUCAUACUUCGUCAAAUCCUACAAUAGUGAAACCAAAACAUUUACACAACGUUACGUGACACUAGUAUUGACAUUUACCUGCGUCACUUCUUUGUUUUCGUUGAGAUUUUUUUUGACAACAAGUGUUUAUGUUAGUGCACUAUUUAUGCUCUCUCCUGGACCAACUAUUUUUUGUUGUUCAAGACAUCUGUCAGCACAAACAUGACUACUGGGACAGGGUGAGGCAGAAUUAUGGAGGAUAUUAUUUGUGUCAGCUCGGGCAGCGACGACGACUCUGAUUUAGAAGUUAUAAGUAGUUACAACGAAGACAAAGAAGAUGCAGUUCCGUUCAUCCGAGCAGAAUGGCUCCAAGUCACACCUGUCCUCAUUGAUAUCACAGGCCAUAACUUCACCCCUCCAAGGCGAAGAUGCUCAAGAAGAGAUACUUGCUCCUCCUUAGAAGUUAUAGAUUUAAGUGAAGAUGAUCCUGCUGAUUAUGGCAACAUCCAGCUUCAGAAUCCAUCACCGACUCUGCCAUCAGUAGAAAGGAAAAACAAGAAAGCGCGUGUAACACUGGCAUCUUUUGGAAAACCUCAAGAAUCACAAUCUCAAACAAGUGGUGGAAAAGAUGUAGCUAAUUCAGGGUGUUUUGUAGGGAGUGUGCAGUCUGUCGUCUCUAAGUCACUCACUCAGGAGAGCGCUCUCACAGACGUGCUUCAAAGAACAGAAAAGCAUUUGCAUCAGAACACAAAUUGUAGUUUAAGCUUGUCGUUUGAGCAUUUGAGCUGGGACAAGUGUUUGGAACGUUGCAGCUCCAAUGAUGUGAGUAAAAAUUCUAUUGCAGAUAUAUCGCAGAACACUAAAGACUCUCAUCUGAGUACACCAGCUGUCUGCAGCACAGACACAGACCAAGGAAACAACCAAGAAGACAAUCUUGACCAGAAAUGGGAAGGCAGUGUUCACUCUUCUUACAGUCUUGACAGUCCAUAUUACUGUCCGAGUGAGGUAGAUGCUUAUGUAUUUUCUGACUCAUCCAAUAAAUCUGAAGAUAAGGAUCACCCGUUUACAACAUAUAACAGUCAACCGUCACCUCAAACCUUUGAGCUUCCUUCUGAUACUCAUACUGCAUCAGUGUCCAAUGCACUUUCUUUAAAUGAUGAUGGUAAAACGAUGAAUAUCUCCAAAAAUGAGGACCUACAUACUCAGGUUCUGCCCGAACCUUCUUCCCCCUCAAUACCUACCUCAUCUAGGGCCUCGCCCCACUGGAGCCCUGAACUUAUAUCUCGACAGAGUAAACCUAACAGUCCCACUUCCACAGAGAUUCUUGCCAGCGACACAGUGGCACUUUCCCCUGAUCUAUCUUCGCUGAGCUCACCAAGUAGUUCAUUCAGCCUCCUCCUCUCGCAGCCCUCCCCGCCAAACUUUUCAGAGAGAACAGAGCUAAGGGGAAAUGAUUUAGAUGCAGGAUCCCCAGAAAGCCCUUCCUUCAGGCUUUGGGAGACAAGCAGCGAUGACAACAAUGAAAAUGUGCUGGAUAAUGCUGUCUCAGGUCUUUCUGAAAACAACUCGCAAGAUAGACAACAUAUUUGUCUGGCUCAGUACAGAAAAUUAAGUCAGUGCAUGGGUGGAAUGGUUCCACAGAUGCAUGACGAUGAGGAGGAAGGUGAACACUAUGGUCCCGCUGAGCCCCUGUGCCGACAGAGCCUUAGUUUGGUUAACAGCACUAUUGAGGAGAAUUACCCCGAGGGCACUCUUCAGCUGCUCUCUGACUUCAUUCAGCCUCGGUAUUACCCACCGGUGGAAAUUACGAAACAUCUGCUCAGGGGGAUCUUCUUGGACCCACAGAGCCCUGAUGUCCUAGCCGUAGAGGCGUAUAACCUUUUGAUGAAGACUCAGAGAUACCACCCUGUGGACGCUUCUACAGUCCCAUGGGAUUGGGAACUGAUGAAGUCGGUUAUGAAUGAUCAGGAUGACACUAGGAAGUUGCGGACGGAGAUCCGGUACAUGCUCCUGCAAUAUGUGUUGCAGGUUUUAGAGGAUGACUUUCAUUUUAAACUCAGGACUCAAUGUCUUCAACACUCCGUUGCAAAGAAGAUGCUUUCAUGUGGCCCUGAAACGUUUGGGCAAGUCAGGGAUCUAAUAAAUUGGAUGAUUAAUGCUGCUAAUGAAUCGGUGAACGACUCAAAAGAUGUGGAACAUCCAAAGAAAGAGGACAACUGUCUUAAGAUUGUAAUAUCUCUUCAGAGGAUGUUAACAUUGGCCGUAGAGGUGGACAAGGACCCCACCUACAAUUCAGACAAACUUUCAGAAGAGCUCUUCAGUUGUCUUAACAGAAUGUGUUCUUGCAGGAAGAUAAGACUCUUAUUGUUGAGUACUCUGGAGAGCAAGCUGCUGAGAUGCAAGUUGUUGAAGCUGCUGCUGGAUGAGGCUUGUUCUCAGAAGACACGCUUGCCCAUGUCUCUAAGCUUGCUGCUACACUACCUUAAGAGCUCCACACUGGCCUCCGAACCCUCAGUAAAAGACGGAGCAGAGAAGUGGAGGAAAUGGGAGGAACUUCUUCAGCUUCUGUGGAUGCUGAUGCUUAGUUACCAAGAAGUGGUGACAGACGACAACAUCUUUGUCAUGUGUUGGCCACCGUAGCUUCUCUAUGUGCUUAAGGGAGGGGUGAGCAGUGGACUGAGCCGUUGGUUGCAAUUCGCAUCCUCAACACUAGAUGCUGAUAAAAUUUACACACUGCACCUUUAAGGUCAUCUACACUGUCCCAUCACAAAGCGCUUUGAUAGGAUGCAUGCUCCGAUUUGGACACGGGAUGAUCAGGUGAAAAGCUCAGCAGUGCAAGAUGCAGCAGAUGCCUUCCUGAUACGAGCAGCGGAUGACAUCGGUCAAGCUCUCCCCAUGGAAAUAGAGGAAUUACUAUGCCAACUACAAGUACACAUAACUGACAUGUCCAGUGUUGCUUCAAGUCAUUAAACCUUUUAAUUGCUUUGUUUGACAUUUUUUAAAAUAAAUUUAUUUUUAAUACA